Molecule: ribosomal RNA, 397 nt
Filed under: uncultured bacterium
Lineage: Bacteria
Description: bacterial SSU rRNA
Rfam family: Bacterial small subunit ribosomal RNA
Source: RNAcentral
AUUGAACGCUGGCGGCAUGCCUUACACAUGCAAGUCGAACGGCAGCACGGGAGCAAUCCUGGUGGCGAGUGGCGAACGGGUGAGUAAUAUAUCGGAACGUGCCCAGUCGUGGGGGAUAACGUAGCGAAAGCUACGCUAAUACCGCAUACGAUCUAUGGAUGAAAGCGGGGGAUCGCAAGACCUCGCGCGAUUGGAGCGGCCGAUAUCAGAUUAGGUAGUUGGUGAGGUAAAGGCUCACCAAGCCGACGAUCUGUAGCUGGUCUGAGAGGACGACCAGCCACACUGGGACUGAGACACGGCCCAGACUCCUACGGGAGGCAGCAGUGGGGAAUUUUUGGACAAUGGGCGCAAGCCUGAUCCAGCAAUGCCGCGUGCAGGAUGAAGGCCUCGGUGUAAC